UCCCGUGUGGCUCAGUUGGUAGAGCAUGGUGCUUACAAUGCCAAGGUUAAUGGAUCUGAUUCCCAUGGGAG
This 71-nucleotide transfer RNA is filed under the name Salmo salar (Atlantic salmon). It matches the Rfam family "tRNA". Rfam says of the family: Transfer RNA (tRNA) molecules are approximately 80 nucleotides in length. Their secondary structure includes four short double-helical elements and three loops (D, anti-codon, and T loops). The record is from Rfam by way of RNAcentral. Lineage: Eukaryota; Metazoa; Chordata; Actinopteri; Salmoniformes; Salmonidae.